Molecule: long non-coding RNA, 1335 nt
Organism: Perca fluviatilis (European perch)
Lineage: Eukaryota; Metazoa; Chordata; Actinopteri; Perciformes; Percidae
Exons: 4
Source: RefSeq, a predicted model, not a curated record
CCAAAACCACAAUCACAGACAGAUUAUAGCAACAUCCAAAUUAUCUUCAUUUAUCACAUCUUUCAUUCAUUUAUCCCCCCCGACACUCGCACAUACUGUACCACACAAGACUGUAAGGUACUCAGUAGAUUGAAGAUAGCUUAAACAUCUUAAAAUGGGUUUAUCUGUUUACCCUACUAUUUACUUUAAUGUGGGGCUGCUGUGAAGUCCCCAUCAUGGCACAUUUAGUCAACCUAUUGGGAGUACCCUACCACUGUCAAUGCAAUGUUUCGCUGUGGCCACCAGAGGUCCCCUGCUGAGUUUACAGAGAGGGUUCUGAAGCAGUUCUGCAUGCUGUCCUGUCCAGUUACCUCGGUUCAUAUCCAACGUUAAACUGCAACCCCGCAACCUGCUACAUAUCUCUGAGACGGAGCUCUUCUACAUCUCUACAGCACAGCCAUGGCCACCACAGAAACAAUGUUUACAGACCGAAGUGACUUUGAUUAUGUUCCAGCUCAUCUGGAAGCCAAAUUCCACCAAAGACAGAGGUGCCUCCUCAAACAGUAUAGAAAAUAAUGUAUCAAAAGCGAGGAAGUCGAUACGGGAACCACGGCAGCAAAUACAUACCCAGACACACCGGUUGUUUAUAGCAAUCCCUGUUAUGGCUAAUAUACUUCUGCCAGCUGGAUGAGCAAUAAACAGGGUUUUCCAAUGCAUCUUUAUCUGGUUUCUUUUAGGCUCCCAAUGUUUUCUGUAGAAUGUCUCAAAAUAAGGGGGUGAAAUAUCUGUCUACACAUUGCUCAGAAUUGUGUGAGUGUUGAAAUUAAAAUAAAAAAACUAAGAAAAACAAAUGCUCCCAACCAUGAGACUUGAUUUGGUACUUUUAAUCAAACAAAUGCAACAAGUGUUGUAUCUCUUCCUUACAUGUUACUCCUGUAAAACAAUUAAAUUAAGAGCAUGAUUAAAUAUUUAUAUACAAAAUCUGCAGCUCGAAACAAAGAAUAGCAUGUGUUGAUCGAUCGUAACAAUUGUCUUUUGCCUUUUAUUUUUCUUUAUUUCUGUUGAUAUCUACUUGUUUAGCAUGGCAGAAUAAUGAAAAACCCCAAAAUAGAAUAGGCCAAAUAUAACAUGCUAAAAGGAAAUAGCUGGUAUCUUGAUGAAAAUAUUCAGUAGCCUAAUGUAUUUUGUUUUAUUUACAAGCUUUGAAAAUAUUCAAAUGAAUGAAAUGUGUAUUUGUUUUCCUAUUCGUCAUUUAUUUUCUGUUUAAACCUAUUGCAAAGGUAUUACAAAUGAUGUUAUUACCUGUAAAGCUGAACAAUGAGGCAACUGUUUCAAAUAAAGGUCUCCUCGACAUGA